AUUUAGCUUUGGUGGAGCUUUGUGUUAUCCACGCGUAAAAUAUAUGAUAUAUAUGUGUAUCACUUUUCAUUAGCUAGGGAAUUAAAGUUAUCAGACACAUAACAUGAAGAAAGAUUUUACAAUUUUUUCAUUUUCCAGAUGAAUCGCACGUAAAACUAGUGGGGGCCUAGUUGUAUCUUUGUUAGCUGGUCAAUUCAAACUAUUUCAUUUAGCUGUUUCUUGUCUAAAGGAAAUAUUAAAGUAUUUCAUAUAUAUAUAUAUAUAUGAUGAUAAAGAGAAAAAGAAGGGGCUUUUGAUAAAGGCAUGGAUUUAGGGGAAAGGAGGCAACAAAAAGAGGUGCAAAAGAAUCAAAGGUAUAUACAUGCAUGAAAUAAUUUGAGUUUGCUCAAAGACGUGUUUCUUUUCAAGGAUUGUUAUGUUUAAAUGCAUUCAGAUUCUAACAGUGGUGGCCCUAUCCAGAAUUUAGCCAUGGUUGAAUGCCAUUUCAUAAUGUUUAUAGGAGUCAAAAAAGGAUGUAUCAAACCUUUUUGUAGUAUUGAUUUCUUCAAGAAGUUUUUUGAUAAGCAAUCAAGUUGAAGAUCUGAAAAAUGGGAAUGUUUAGGUAGAUAAGUGAAACCAUAUCUAUCAAGUUUCUUGCUUUUUCUGUUUUCAUUUUUCUAACAUUAUAAUUUCAAUCCGUUCAGUGAAAGAUAAAGGCAGUUUCCACAGAUUUGCUAGAAAGAUUCAGAGCCAUGAAAGAGACUUGCAAUUUACAGUACAUGGGCAUUGGGAAAUCAUCCAAAUACAAAAAACUAAUAUUAUAUAACCACUUACUAACAUUUACAGGUUUUUAGGGUUGCUAAUAAAAUAUAAACAAACUUAGCAUUUUGUCAAAAAUCUCUUUUAAACACUUAAAUUGCCAUCAAAUUUCAAAAUCUCUGUCCAUGUUGCGUAAACACUUAAUUAAAAUUUUCAUAUUUCAUUUGAGAAAUACUCGAGAUAUUUUUCAAAAUCUAAAAUUCCUAUAAAUUUAGAACACGUCAACAUAUAUUUACAUUUUACACAAAAUGUCAGAAUUUCAAUGUUAUAUCAUAUAAAAUUAGUAUAACUUAAUAAAACAUAUUAUUCUCAACACAUUUACAAAACAUAAGCUUACGAUAAAAAAAAACAUUACUUUGCAACACCUACUAAUCAUUUCUAUAAACUAUUAGUUGUUUGAGAACGUAAGAAUUUUUUUCCAACUUACAAUUAAACAUAGUUUUUCACAUAACUGAAUGCAGUAUAAAAUAGAAAUUUGAUGGUGAAUGCAUCAUAUUGUAACAUGUAAAACUCGUGUUGUAAGAGGGAAGUUAAAUAUAUUUUUAAAAUGAAAUAUGUUUAUUUCAAUACAAUUUGUCACAUGACUUAAGCAUGUUGCAACGCGGUAAAAAUAACUUUUUUUUUUCCAGAGUAAACAUAAUAAUCGUUAAACAACUUAUUGUGAAAUGAAAACGUACAUGUUGCAACAUAAUAAAAUUGAAACUUAUCUGCUUAAAUUAAAAGUAUCACUUGUUGGUCUUAUGAAAUAUGAUCAGCAGCAUCUUUUAUCGCACUGACUAACAUCAUCCCAAACAAUCAUGGUCCUAAAUGAUGCGAGAAAUUCUCAAAGAAUCUAACUGAAAUGUGUUCGACUAUGUAGGCAACUAUUUUUGGGUGGUUUGUGUUAUAUUGAAAACGUCCCUCCUACUCAUAAAGUUGGCACACUUAUUUGACAAAUAAUUGUGAUUUUUAAUUUUAGUCAAUUCAAUGCUUAAUAUCUUAUGAAUCUCAAGUAGUUAUAACAAGCUUGUAGCAAAUUUAUUUAAUCAUGUAUCAUGAAAAAUAAAAUAAUUUCAAUUCUUACCAAGAAUCUGCUUUGUAUUUAAAUAGAAACUAUAAUAGAAAUUAUACAUUUUUGUAGAUUCUACAAACUAUUUCGCUAAUCUUGUAACAUGAACAAUCACAUCUACAAUGUACAACUGUCCAAUUAUCCAACCUCCAAUGAAAAUUUAUACAAGAAACAAGAUUGGGAGAAUUAGGAUUUUCUUUUCUUGUGUUAGCAAGAAUAAUUAUGGUCACUUAUGGCUUUUUCAAACAUUAGCAACCUAUUAAAAUAAGUCCAAGUGAAUUUGGCCCGUCUCUUUACUUAAUCCGGUCCGAUAUUUAAUUAAAUCAAUAAAAUAAUUUUGGAUCUAUUAACAAGCAACCUACUUGAUUAAUUGUCCGACACUUGUCAAUUAGUUAAUUGAUGAAGCUCAUUCUUCUAGUUUUUUCCUUAGUGUGUGACCCAUUAGGCUCCCAAUUACGGUGCCUAACAAUGUGAAUUAUUGUUUUGAUAUAAUUAAAAUCAAUAACUUAAAAUACUCAUUUUUAAUUUAUCAUUAAUUCACAUUCGUUAUCUCAAAUUGACAUAUAGCAAUGUAUCAGGACAAUACAUGUGAUAAAAAUGUCACAUAUGACAAAAUCAGACUUGUUCGUUUACCGUGAAACUAUAAUUAUUUUGUCAUUAUGAUCCGAUCAAUUACGAGAUAUGAAUAUGUAUCAAUCUUGAUUAUCGAUCAUAUAUUUCAUUCACUAUUAAGUCAAUAUAAGUUGGAAGCUCCUUUUCGACUUAUGAGUACACUUAGCCAAAGAUUUUGUUUUUAACUUAAUUGAAUGAAAUGUAGAUCAUAAUCUCUCACUAUUUAAGAGUGACGAAUCAUUUAUUGAUUAUUCAUAACUUUCAUGUGAUUCUUGACAUACCCGAAUGAUACCAUAUUAACAGCCCUUGGUGGAGUAGCAUUUAACUUUACCAAAGUAUAACCGUCAUCAUAGAAGGUACUAUGAUGACCUCAAAUUGAAGGACAAAUUCAACUACUGAACGUUAGAGAUUAACUACUAACACUCAGAUAGUUAAUCGUGUGGAAUUUUCCUGGCGGAUCUCCAAUAUUUUCUUCUACAACAAAACAUUACGUGUUUAUUUAAGUGUCACCACACUUUAAUUAGUGAAAUCAGCUAAUUACUUCACAAGUAAAAAAUGUCAUUCGUGAUAGUCUAUCAGUAAUAACGAAAUCCGCAUCUCGCUAUUACUUACUACCAUUGAUGAUUUAAGAUUCAAUUAUAUGUAAUUUAUAUUUCACAAUCACAACUUCUUGUGAUUAUUACCAAAACUUGAAUUUACAGAAUCUAUUAUUUAAUUUAAUAGAGUAUUAAUUAAAUAAUAGAAGUAUUAUAAAAUUACAUCAAUUGUAUAUUAAAAGUGCUUAUAUUCAAAGUUGAUUGGAUCUAUGAUAUAACACUUACAAAACUCUCCUAUAAUUUUAGUGAACUUCAUAUUAAUUAUUGGAUUUACUAAAAUUAAAGGUUAUGAUUAUUUGUCAAAUAAGUGUGUCAAACUUAUAAGUAGGAGGAACGGUCCUCGUAUUAUAUUAGCUGUGCAAUUACAUAAAUAUUAAUAUUACUUUUAAGGGCUUGGUUGUUACAUUUCAUCGUUGUAUUAUUUUGGUCCCCUUUUGUUCUUUUCCUACUACGCCCAAAUCCUACUGUUUUGUUCAAUUAAGGACAUAACUCAAUAAUUUAUUUCUAUUCGAUAAAGAGAAAAAGAAGGGGCUUUUGAUAAAGGCAUGGAUUUAGUGGAAAGGAGGCAACAAAAAGAGGUGCAAAAGAAUCAAAGGUACAUACAUGCAUGAAAUAUUUUGAGUUUGCUCAAAGACAUGUUUCUUUUCAAGGAUUGUUAUGUUUAAAUGCAUUCAGAUUCUAACAGUGGUGGCCCUAUCCAGAAUUUAGCCAUGGUUGAAUGCCAUUUCAUAAUGUUUAUAGGAGUCAAAAAAGGAUGUAUCAAACCUUUUUGUAGUAUUGAUUUCUUCAAGAAGUUUUUUGAUAAGCAAUCAAGUUGAAGAUCUGAAAAAUGGGAAUGUUUAGGUAGAUAAGUGAAACCAUAUCUAUCAAGUUUCUUGCUUUUUCUGUUUUCAUUUUUCUAACAUUAUAAUUUCAAUCCGUUCAGUGAAAGAUAAAGGCAGUUUCCACAGAUUUGCUAGAAAGAUUCAGAGCCAUGAAAGAGACUUGCAAUUUACAGUACAUGGGCAUUG
This 4064-nucleotide long non-coding RNA is filed under the name Olea europaea subsp. europaea. The record is from RNAcentral. Lineage: Eukaryota; Viridiplantae; Streptophyta; Magnoliopsida; Lamiales; Oleaceae.